ACAUUAGACGAAUCAUCUGGAAAGAUGAAUCAAAGAAGGUAAUAAUCCUGUAGUCGAAAAUGUUGUCUCUCUUGAGUGGAUCCUGAGUACGACGGAGCACGUGAAAUUCCGUCGGAAUCUGGGAGGACCAUCUCCUAAGGCUAAAUACUCUCUAGUGACCGAUAGUGAACCAGUACCGUGAGGGAAAGGUGAAAAGCACCCCGGAAGGGGAGUGAAAUAGAACCUGAAACCGUGUGCUUACAAGUAGUCAGAGCCCGUUAAUGGGUGAUGGCGUGCCUUUUGUAGAAUGAACCGGCGAGUUACGAUUUGAUGCAAGGUUAAGCAGUAAAUGUGGAGCCGUAGCGAAAGCGAGUCUGAAUAGGGCGUUUAGUAUUUGGUCGUAGACCCGAAACCAGGUGAUCUACCCUUGGUCAGGUUGAAGUUCAGGUAACACUGAAUGGAGGACCGAACCGACUUACGUUGAAAAGUGAGCGGAUGAACUGAGGGUAGCGGAGAAAUUCCAAUCGAACCUGGAGAUAGCUGGUUCUCUCCGAAAUAGCUUUAGGGCUAGCCUCAAGUGAUGAUUAUUGGAGGUAGAGCACUGUUUGGACGAGGGGCCCCUCUCGGGUUACCGAAUUCAGACAAACUCCGAAUGCCAAUUAAUUUAACUUGGGAGUCAGAACAUGGGUGAUAAGGUCCGUGUUCGAAAGGGAAACAGCCCAGACCACCAGCUAAGGUCCCAAAAUAUAUGUUAAGUGGAAAAGGAUGUGGCGUUGCCCAGACAACUAGGAUGUUGGCUUAGAAGCAGCCAUCAUUUAAAGAGUGCGUAAUAGCUCACUAGUCGAGUGACACUGCGCCGA
This 839-nucleotide ribosomal RNA is filed under the name Staphylococcus aureus. RNAcentral describes it as "partial 23S ribosomal RNA". It matches the Rfam family "Bacterial large subunit ribosomal RNA", at positions 326 to 1167 of the family's 2925-position model. The record is from RNAcentral. Lineage: Bacteria; Bacillati; Bacillota; Bacilli; Caryophanales; Staphylococcaceae.